GACGAACGCUGGCGGCGGGCUUAACACAUGCAAGUCGAACGGAAACGCCCUGCUGUUGUCGGGUGCUCGAGUGGCGAACGGGUGAGUAACACGUGAGUAACCUGCCGUUGGCUGGGGGGUAACUACAGGAGACUGGGGUUAAUACCGGAUAGGAGCUCCUGCUGCAUGGUGGGGGUGGGAAAGUGUCGGCGGGCGGGGCUGGUCGCGCGGCUUAUAAGCUUGUUGGGGGGGGAGUGGCUGUCCACGGCUUGGCGUGCUAGCCGGCCUGAGAGGGUGACCGGCCACCUGGGUCCUGCGGUACGGACCAGUCUCCUACGGUGGGCAGCAGUGGCGAACAUUGCACAAUGGUCGGGCGCCUGAUACAGCAACGCCGCGUGCGUGAAGUCGGCCUUCGGGUUGUAAACCGCUUUCGCCUGUGACGAAGCGUGAGUGACGUUACUGGGUGAAGAAGCACCGGCUAACUACGUG
Molecule: ribosomal RNA, 468 nt
Filed under: uncultured bacterium
Lineage: Bacteria
Description: partial 16S ribosomal RNA
Rfam family: Bacterial small subunit ribosomal RNA
Source: RNAcentral